RNAcentral lists this long non-coding RNA (696 nucleotides) under Medicago truncatula (barrel medic). RNAcentral's name for it is "lncRNA gene17634". The record is from RNAcentral. Lineage: Eukaryota; Viridiplantae; Streptophyta; Magnoliopsida; Fabales; Fabaceae.
UUGGAAUUUUCUUACAUGUUUAAUAUGUAGUUGCAUAUAUUUAUUAAAGGUUACUAUUUCAUUCAUUCAUGUAAAUUAUACAGGUUAUUCAAACAAGGCAUAUCAUGGGCAUCUUGGUGCCUUAAAUUCUUCAACUUUGUAGGUUUCACCAUUGAGUUCUCAGGUUCAUUUACUCCAUGAUUACUAGCCUUGGAAAUUUUGGCAAUUAUAGUUUAGUGUAAACUGUUGUAUAACAGCCUAUGCGUAAGUAUGGCUUUCAAAUGCUAUUUACCAUGAUGCUUAGUCCCUUCACUUUUCAUUUGUUUCAGCCUUUUGUAAUAAUCAUGUUUUGUUGUUUAUCAUUUCCAGGUUAUAGAAUUUGGUUUUAGUUUGAUAUAAAUAUUGACCAAAUAUAAAGUAUAAUUGUUGAAAUGUGUUGUCAUUUGAGGUGUAUCUUCCACAUCAAUGUAUAUGCGUAAUCUUGAAAAGCUUGUUUCAAGUAAUUUGGACGAGAGCUAUAUAUGUGUAUGCAUGUAUAGAGAUGUUGAAGAAAUUGACAAGAGCAUAGCAUAAGGGAAAUGAAGAGGAACAAAGAUACAUAUAAAAGAUCCAAAGAGUUUUUUUUGUUUAAAUUUGAAGAGCUUUUCUUGAUAAUAUAUGCAUUGUGUUAGGUUCUUUUACAAUGAAUACAUUGAAUGACUUGUUUUGUAUAUUUUU